This 1439-nucleotide long non-coding RNA is filed under the name Equus caballus (horse). RNAcentral describes it as "lncRNA (ENSECAG00000052042.1)". Lineage: Eukaryota; Metazoa; Chordata; Mammalia; Perissodactyla; Equidae. The record is from RNAcentral.
AGAGCCCUGAGGAGAGGCAGGGGAUGGCUCAACUGAGUGAGCACCCCUGAAGCUGAUGCUAGAGGCGUGGGAAUGUGGGGGGCUCGGUGAAGGUGAUGACACUCCAUCAGGAGCUCCUGGAUCCAGUGUAGCCUGUGGAUUUCAUCUGAAAGUGAUGGGAGCCCUUGGGAGGGGACAUGAGUGGCAAGGUCCCUUGGCUGCGAGGCUGCCAGGAACACUCAUGUCCCCCAUGGGGCCACUCUCAUCAAGGCCAGGCUGGCGGGAGGAGACCAAGGCCACAUGGGCGGUCAGCCUCCAAGCAGCGGGGCAGCCAGGGGCCCAGGCCAGCUGCUCACCCGGAGGCGGGAGGGCCGUGGUCAGAGGGUGCUGGGUACUGAGUGCUGGGUGCUACCCGAAUACUGCAGAGUCCUCCUGGAGGAGUCUCCUGAGAGCCGAGCGUGCAGUUCUGGGAACUGCCCAGGUGGUGGGCACAGCUGUGCUCCAGGAACUCAUUCCUUGACAGAAAGCACACCCAAGCCCUAAAUCCUUUUUAAAAAAAAGUCGAAAAACACACAGGAGCUGAAAAUGAGAAGAAUUCUGCUGAAACGGCCAGUGCACCGCCAAAGGACGGCCUCCCUGAAGGCCACACGGAGGGCUCUGGGCAAGCCAGCAGGACUCUGCCUGAGGGUGCCCUUGCCUACAGCCACCACCCCUCUGAGCCUGGCACUAUCAGCCCUGCUCACGUGCCAGGUUCCCGGCUGUUGGCAUCAUGAGGCCCACUGUGUUGGAGGGUGAGGUGCCACCUGGCCUUGCCGUCCUGGGAUCCACUGUCUCCCAUGGGCAUAGGGAGACCAGCUUCCAGCAGCAUCGCCCACUGUCAGCAGGGCCACGGAGAGGACACUAGAGCCUGUCACCUCGGGAGUGUCCCCUUGGGCAGCCAGGACCCUGGACCCGCCCUCGCAGACUAAGGAGCAAGCACGACCAGGCUGUGGGGUCCCCGAAGGACACUAAUGAGACGCACCUGUGGAAGUCCAGCGGGCCCUUCAGGCGGGGUCCUGAGUCCUGCCCACGUCCGCCCUCUCUGGGGUUAAGAUGCAGACGGUGGAAGCAGGACGCUGAACCUCUCAGCUCCAGCUUCCUGCGGACGUCCGGCUGCUCCCAUGUCGUUGCUGACUUCUUCCUCUCUGAUGGGGAUGCCCGGAGAGCGGGCUUCCCUGUACAGCCUGACCGGACUGCGGAAACCGCUGGGGCCCAUCUGUCGCCAGGGUGCUGGUGACCUGUGAGCGAGGUCCAGCCCCGCCACCACCGAGGCCUGGGAGAGAGGCAGGCCUGGCUCAGGGUAUUGAGUCGCAGCAUUGAAGGCACAAAAUACACCUCAAGUUUUGUUUUUUAAAGAUUGGCACCUGAGCUAACAACUGUUGCCAAUCUUUUUUUUUCUUCUUCUUCUCCCGCAAGCCCCC